RNAcentral lists this ribosomal RNA (301 nucleotides) under uncultured bacterium. RNAcentral describes it as "partial 16S ribosomal RNA". It matches the Rfam family "Bacterial small subunit ribosomal RNA", at positions 509 to 807 of the family's 1533-position model. The record is from RNAcentral.
CAGUAGCCGCGGGAAUACGUAGGGUGCAAGCGUUAAUCGGAAUUACUGGGCGUAAAGCGUGCGCAGGCGGUUAUAUAAGACAGAUGUGAAAUCCCCGGGCUCAACCUGGGAACUGCAUUUAUGACUGUAUAGCUAGAGUACGGCAGAGGGGGAUGGAAUUCCGCGUGUAGCAGUGAAAUGCGUAGAUAUGCGGAGGAACACCGAUGGCGAAGGCAAUCCCCUGGGCCUGUACUGACGCUCAUGCACGAAAGCGUGGGGAGCAAACAGGAUUAGAUACCCCCGUAGUCCCUGUCUCUUAUAC